This 221-nucleotide ribosomal RNA is filed under the name Ablerus sp. D1022. RNAcentral describes it as "partial 28S ribosomal RNA". It matches the Rfam family "Eukaryotic large subunit ribosomal RNA", at positions 967 to 1163 of the family's 3401-position model. Lineage: Eukaryota; Metazoa; Arthropoda; Insecta; Hymenoptera; Aphelinidae. The record is from RNAcentral.
UUUCCCUCAGGAUAGCUGGCACUCGCUUAUAGCGAGUCUCAUCUGGUAAAGCGAAUGAUUAGAGGCCUUGGGGCCGAAACGACCUCAACCUAUUCUCAAACUUUAAAUGGGUGAGAUCUCUGGCUUGCUUGAACGUUGAAGCCACGAGAUGCGACCGAGCGUCGCCAUGGAUCAGAGUGCCAAGUGGGCCAAUUUUGGUAAGCAGAACUGGCGCUGUGGGA